CCGGGGGAAAAGAGAGACAGGAAAUAUGUCAAACUGUGUAACUUUUCUCAAAGAAAUAGCUGGUGCUAUCAAUCUCUCCAUUUGAGAUGAACUGCCAGCGAAUACUAAUGGCUGGGAGAUCUGCAUCAUUGAUCUUCAUCAGGCGAGUGUAUUAUCCUUAGUGAAGUGCUGCUGUACCGCCCGCGCUGCCCACCUCCCAGUGCAAACCGCCGCUUCCUCUUUCUCUUGCCUGUAACUUUCAUUUUAACUUUUGAGUCAUUAAUCAAGGCAGUGACCUUGACUACGAAAGUCUAAAUUUGGUGAAUAAAUGGAAUGGAAAUCUGAAGAUGUACAGCUCCAGAAACAGGAGACCGUACACUGAUUCUUGACUGUUGUAGUAGAAACGCUGAAGGAAUGAUACCAUUUACUGCAAACUUCUGAACACCUGCUCUAGUGUCUCAGCUUCCCACUGUCCUCAAAUGAUGGAAUUUAGAAAAUUAAUGUUACCCGUCUAUGUCUGGAAUCUGAAACAUUGCACCCAAAGCGGCCCUGCAAAGUCCCUCCCCACCACUGGGCCCUCUCCCUCCCCAACGGCUACUUUCCUUUUUGUUACUAUUUCCUAAAAGGAAUGACUUUUAUAAAUUUAAAUAAACACUCAUUAUUUUGGAAAGAGAUGUGCAAAAGUAAAUCUGUAUUUAGGCAAUUAUAUUGUAGGAACAUGCAGUUGGAAGGAUUACUGUGACCCUAAGUGAGGGAUGGCUAUCCUGUGCUAACUGGCCCUUCUGAACUGUACUCCUUUAUGUUUUAGCAUUCAUGUUAAAGAUCACUCAAUGAUAUAUGUAAGCUUCUCUUUCAUAUGUCUACGUGACUGUAUGUUCCUACCAUACUACUUGAAUAUUGUAACUUUGUAAUAUGUUUUGAAAUCAGGAAGUGUGAGGCCUCCAGCUUUGUUUCUCUCUCUCAAGAUUGUUUUGGUUAUUUGGGGUUCUUUGAGGUAAAUAUAAAUUUUAGCAUUUUUUAAAUAAUUUUGAAAAAUUUUUUCCAAUUUUGAAAAAAAUGCCAUAGGGAUUUUGUUAGGGAUUCCAUUGAAUCUGUAGAUCACUUUGAAUAGUAUGAACAUUUUAACAAUAUAAAGUCUUCCAGUCAAUAAAGAUGGGAUAUCUUUCCACUUAUUUGUGUCUUCUUUAAUUUCUUUCAGCAGUCCUUUGUAGUUUUCAGUGCCUGUCUCAUGCCUCUUUGGUUGAGUUUAUUCCUAA
RNAcentral lists this long non-coding RNA (1235 nucleotides) under Homo sapiens (human). Its description in RNAcentral is "HSALNT0037311". The record is from RNAcentral. Lineage: Eukaryota; Metazoa; Chordata; Mammalia; Primates; Hominidae.